This 1372-nucleotide unclassified non-coding RNA is filed under the name Hevea brasiliensis (rubber tree). The record is from RNAcentral. Lineage: Eukaryota; Viridiplantae; Streptophyta; Magnoliopsida; Malpighiales; Euphorbiaceae.
UAUACUAAUAAGCUUUCUUUCUCUUUCAUAUCAUAGUUUUCUGUUCUGCAGCUUUCCAUGGAGUUCCACUUCCUACCCAUCCUUGCAUUUCUUUCUUUGACAUUGGUAGCAAGUCAUGCAACUCUAUCUCCUGAAGCGUACUGGAACUCGGUUCUGCCAAACUCUCCUAUGCCUACGGCUGUCAAGGAUCUUUUACACCCUGAAUGGAUGGAAGAUAAGAGCACCGCAGUCGGGGUAGGAAAGGGCGGCGUAGGCGUCGAUGCAGGGCAAGGAAAGCCCGGUGGCACUAGUGUUGGUGUCGGGAAAGGAGGUGUCUCUGUGAACACCGGAAAAAAAGGAAAGCCCGUCUCUGUCGGAGUAUCAAAGGGACCGAAUCCAUUCCUUUACAAGUACGCUGCCACUGCGGAUCAACUCCAUGAUAAUCCCAACAUCGCUCUUUUCUUCUUGGAAAAUGACUUGAAAAAAUACACAAAAAUGACAUUGCACUUCACUAAAACCACCACACCGACUACUUUCUUGCCUCGCCAGGUUGCUGAGAAAAUACCCUUUUCAUCCAAGAAAAUUCCACAAAUUCUUGACUACUUCUCGGUGAAACCCAACUCCAUGGAAGCCAAGACAAUCAAGCAAACAAUCAAAGAAUGCGAAGAGCCUGGAAUCAAAGGAGAAGAGAAAUAUUGCGCGACUUCACUAGAGUCCAUGGUCGAUUUCUGCAGUACCAGGCUUGGGAAAAGUAUCCAAGCAAUCUCCACAGAAGUCAAAAAAGAAACCCCUUUGCAAACAUACACUAUCGAAGGAGUGAAGAAGAUGGCAAGCGAUGCAGCCGUAGUGUGCCAUAAGCAAAACUACGCGUACACAGUGUUUUAUUGCCACAAGACACAGACCACAAAGGCAUACUCGGUUUCAAUGGUACGCCUCGAUGGAACGAAGGCAGAAGCAGUUGCAGUGUGCCAUACCGACACAUCGGGUUGGAAUCCGAAACACUUGGCCUUUCAACUGCUCAAGGUCAAGCCAGGGACUGUUCCAAUUUGCCAUUUCCUUCCUGAGGAUCAUAUAGUUUGGGUUCAUAACUGAUAUUGAUCUUUGCAAAAAAGAGUCAUCACUACUUGUUUAAUUAGUUUUUUAUAUGUUCGUUUAGCUUGGUUUGGCAUGUCAUCAUAAUCUGAAAAACUCUACUUAUGUUGUCUUUACAUAUAUGUGUGUACUAUAACAACUCUCCCACCCACAUAUGCAUAUGCAUAUGAGCUCGACAUAGAGGUGGCUUGUUUUUCAAUAAUAAUAGAUAUGUUGUCCCUGGUGUUUAGCACUACUUAAAACUACUCCAAAAUGUUAUACAAUACCAGAAAAAUGCUAUGCGUUCAAAAUUUGUAUCUUG